RNAcentral lists this ribosomal RNA (710 nucleotides) under Basidiomycota sp. 7-SU-3-E-56(M)A.1. RNAcentral describes it as "eukaryotic LSU rRNA". The record is from RNAcentral. Lineage: Eukaryota; Fungi; Basidiomycota.
CUUGGUCAAUUUAGAGGAAGUAAAAGUCGUAACAAGGUUUCCGUAGGUGAACCUGCGGAAGGAUCAUUACAGAGAGAUAGGAGAGUUGAAGGGGUUGCAAUACACCCCUUUGCUCUCUUUGAUCACUAUUAUCUUCCCCCCCUUUACAAUUGUGAACAAUGACGCGAGUUCAAGUCAAGUGCCCCUAUCUUCGGAAUAGGGGCUCUAGACACUCGUGCUMUUUUUUUACCACCUAUACACUACAAUGUUGUACAAUGCAUGAAUUGGGUUUUAAUACACAAUGAAAGAAUAACUUUCAGCAAUGGAUCUCUUGGCUCUCGCAUCGAUGAAGAACGCAGCGAAAUGCGAUAAGUAAUGUGAAUUGCAGAAUUCAGUGAAUCAUCGAAUCUUUGAACGCACCUUGCACCUCUCAGUAUUCUGAAAGGUACACCUGUUUGAGUAUCAUUAAUAUCCAUCCACUUUAAACCUUUGUUGGUUUCAAAGCUGGGAAGUUGGAGGGUUUUUGCUAGUCAUUUCAUUUAUGACUUGCUCCUCUUAAAUGUAUUAGUGAAAGAGAACAAAGCAAGAGAGCUUCAAAAAGGGGUUGAUGUGAUAGAUAUUUGAACAUUUGUCUCAACCUCUGAGAAGUGCACUCUCCUGUUGACAAUGCUUCUCUUUUGCUUUCAAACACACACAUAUACUAUCUUUGAACUUGAUCUCAAAUCAGGUAG